Molecule: ribosomal RNA, 498 nt
Filed under: uncultured bacterium
Lineage: Bacteria
Description: partial 16S ribosomal RNA
Rfam family: Bacterial small subunit ribosomal RNA
Source: RNAcentral
AUUGAACGCUGGCGGCAUGCCUUACACAUGCAAGUCGAACGGCAGCGGACCUUCGGGUGCCGGCGAGUGGCGAACGGGUGAGUAAAGUAUCGGAACGUACCUUUCAGUGGGGGAUAACGUAGCGAAAGUUACGCUAAUACCGCAUAUUCUGUGAGCAGGAGAGCAGGGGAUCGCAAGACCUUGCGCUGAUUGAGCGGCCGAUAUCAGAUUAGCUGGUUGGUGAGGUAAAGGCUCACCAAGGCGACGAUCUGUAGCGGGUCUGAGAGGAUGAUCCGCCACACGGGAACUGGGACACGCUCCAGACUCCUACGGGAGGGAGCAGUGGGGAAUUUUGGACAAUGGGGGCAACCCUGAUUCAGCCAUGCCGCGUGAGUGAAGAAGGCCUUCGGGUUGUAAAGCUCUUUCGGCCGGGAAGAAAUCGCUUAGGUUAAUACCCUGAGUGGAUGACGGUACCGGAAUAAGAAGCACCGGCUAACUACGUGCCAGCCGCCGCAGUAA